RNAcentral lists this non-coding RNA (944 nucleotides) under Siagonodon septemstriatus. RNAcentral's name for it is "partial 12S ribosomal RNA". It matches the Rfam family "Bacterial small subunit ribosomal RNA". The record is from RNAcentral. Lineage: Eukaryota; Metazoa; Chordata; Lepidosauria; Squamata; Leptotyphlopidae.
CCCCGCCCAAAAACACAAGGUCUUGGUCUUUAACCUCACAUCACCUGCCCCCAAAAUUAUACAUGCAAGCCUCCACACAACAGUGAGCCGCCCGCAAGAUCCACAGGAAAAAGCGGAGCUGACAUCAGACCCUAGACCCACCCAGCCUAAUCAACAACGUCACGUAACACCACGCCUACACAGGAAGUCAGCAGUAGCCAACAUUAGGCCAUAAACGAAAGUUCGACCUAGCUAUGGGACAAAUCAAAGCCGGUAAAACUCGUGCCAGCUACCGCGGUUAUACGAGAGGCUUAAGAUGAUACUAACGGCGUAAAAACGACUAGAGCCAACCUAAUUAAGAAUGAAACCACACUGGCUGUCCAACGCCAAGAUCAAAGGAAACCACUAUCUUAAAUCACUUCAAUCGUGAAAGCUGGGGAACAAACUGGGAUUAGAUACCCCACUAUGCCCAGUCGUAACAAGGUAGCACCCACACUGCCCGCCCGAUAAGUACGAGCAAAAAGCUUAAAAUUCAAAGGACUUGACGGUGACCCACAUCAACCUAGAGGAGCCUGUCCCAUAAUCGAUAACCCGCGUUUAACCUCACCAUUUCUUGCCAUUCAGUCUAUAUACCGCCGUCGUCAGCCCACCCUGCAAAGGCACCGAAGCGGGCCAAAUAGUUAAUACACUAAAACGACAGGUCAACGCGUAGCACAUGGAGUGGAGAAAGAUGGGGUACAUUUUCUACACCAGAACACACGGAAAGAUGCCAUGAAAAAGCACUACAAGGUGGAUUUAGCAGUAAGACAGGGCAACCCCCCAGUCUGAACCAACGCCCUGGGCCGCGUACACACCGCCCGUCACCCCCGUCAUACCACACUAAUGUCAGUUCAUAAAACAAAAAACAACACUGAGACGGGGUAAGUCGUAACAUGGUAAGCGUACUGGAAAGUGCGCUUGAACAC